RNAcentral lists this small RNA (335 nucleotides) under Talaromyces islandicus. RNAcentral's name for it is "Penicillium islandicum A. fumigatus sRNA Afu_309". It matches the Rfam family "A. fumigatus sRNA Afu_309". Lineage: Eukaryota; Fungi; Ascomycota; Eurotiomycetes; Eurotiales; Trichocomaceae. The record is from Rfam by way of RNAcentral.
UUUCUUUCAAAACAAGCAGAUCUGUGUCUGGCGAUCCCGUCCAGUCCUUUUUUCCUUCUUCGGAAGGAAAAAAAAGGCUGUGCUCUGGUUGAUUGCCAGGCAGUUCGACGACAAUGGAGCCAUCAUACAACUGAUGUCAAUUUCCUGUCGACAGAUCUGAGAUUGAUGAGCAGCUUCCGGUACCUUUUCCUGAUCUUGAGCUCCCUUUGCCUGGCAUUGGUGAGCUCGGUUGGGAAGCCGGAUUGCUGCCGGCGUCAUAUUCCCACUCCCUUUACCGAUCUUUUUUUUGGCCGUUGGCUGAUGAGGAUGGGGAAAAACCAUGACAGCCAACAUAC